AUUAUUCCAAUAAGCCGCCGAGAGCGUCUUUUGUUGCUAUAACAACAGCUACUGCUACAGUAUCCAAGAGGGCUAUGUGGAGUGGUGCUGGAUGAAACAAAGCGGUCGAGCGAGCUAGAGAAUGAACAGAGAGAGGG
This is a long non-coding RNA of Etheostoma spectabile (orangethroat darter), 137 nucleotides long. RefSeq lists it as uncharacterized. NCBI's taxonomy places the organism in Eukaryota, Metazoa, Chordata, Actinopteri, Perciformes, Percidae. The record is from RefSeq and is a predicted model, not a curated record. The transcript has 3 exons.